RNAcentral lists this ribosomal RNA (394 nucleotides) under uncultured beta proteobacterium LV1C. Its description in RNAcentral is "bacterial SSU rRNA". It matches the Rfam family "Bacterial small subunit ribosomal RNA", at positions 129 to 520 of the family's 1533-position model. The record is from RNAcentral. Lineage: Bacteria; Pseudomonadati; Pseudomonadota; Betaproteobacteria; Nitrosomonadales; Nitrosomonadaceae.
UCCUUAAGUGGGGAAUAACGCAUCGAAAGAUGUGCUAAUACCGCAUAUCUCUGAGGAGAAAAGCAGGGGAUCGCAAGACCUUGCGCUAAAGGAGCGGCCGAUGUCUGAUUAGCUAGUUGGUGGGGUAAAGGCUUACCAAGGCAACGAUCAGUAGUUGGUCUGAGAGGACGGCCAACCACACUGGGACUGAGACACGGCCCAGACUCCUACGGGAGGCAGCAGUGGGGAAUUUUGGACAAUGGGCGAAAGCCUGAUCCAGCCAUGCCGCGUGAGUGAAGAAGGCCUUCGGGUUGUAAAGCUCUUUUAGUCGGAAAGAAAGAAUGCAAUGAAUAAUUGUGAUUUAUGACGGUACCGACAGAAAAAGCACCGGCUAACUACGUGCCAGCAGCCGCGG